Molecule: long non-coding RNA, 411 nt
Filed under: Lupinus angustifolius (narrow-leaved blue lupine)
Lineage: Eukaryota; Viridiplantae; Streptophyta; Magnoliopsida; Fabales; Fabaceae
Description: long non-coding RNA (LANG_LNC000841)
Source: RNAcentral
AUUGGUGAACCUAUGAUCAUUCUCUUAACUCAUGCUAGAGUCAAAGAAGGACAAUGUGACAUUGUUUAUACAAUUUAAUGUUUUUUUGAAAAACAAAAUAUGUUAAAAUUUAUUUAGAUUUAUGAUAUGUUCAUGGGUUUUGCUAGGUAAGUACCCACCCACUGUUUCUAACUCAUGGUCUGGAUCAAAGAUUUUGAUUGAUGAAGAAAUAACCGACAUUCAGAAGUACAAGGAGAGGUAUGAUGACAUUGCUUUAUCUAUGAGUAUUUACCUUGCUUUUUUAUUAUAAAUACUGAUUUUUAACUUACAAUAAUUGAAUGUGUAUUAUUUUGGACAGUUUUUCAACUAUGUCUCUAUCCUGUGACACAUUGAGCCAUGGUAACAGUCAACUCUCACAAUAUUCUUAUUUAU